GACGAACGCUGGCGGCGUGCUUAACACAUGCAAGUCGAACGGAAAGGCCCUGCUUUUGUGGGGUGCUCGAGUGGCGAACGGGUGAGUAACACGUGAGUAACCUGCCCUUGACUUUGGGAUAACUUCAGGAAACUGGGGCUAAUACCGGAUAGGAGCUCCUGCUGCAUGGUGGGGGUUGGAAAGUUUCGGCGGUUGGGGAUGGACUCGCGGCUUAUCAGCUUGUUGGUGGGGUAGUGGCUUACCAAGGCUUUGACGGGUAGCCGGCCUGAGAUGGUGACCGGCCACAUUGGGACUGAGGUACGGACCAGACUCCUACGGGAGGCAGCAGUGGGGAAUAUUGCGCAAUGGGCGGAAGCCUGAUGCAGCAACGCCGCGUGCGGGAUGACGGCCUUCGGGUUGUAAACAGAUUUCGCAUGUGACGAAGAGUGAGUGACGGUAAUGGGUAAAGAAGCACCGGCUAACUACGUG
Molecule: ribosomal RNA, 468 nt
Filed under: uncultured bacterium
Lineage: Bacteria
Description: partial 16S ribosomal RNA
Rfam family: Bacterial small subunit ribosomal RNA
Source: RNAcentral